Molecule: ribosomal RNA, 463 nt
Filed under: uncultured Syntrophus sp.
Lineage: Bacteria; Pseudomonadati; Thermodesulfobacteriota; Syntrophia; Syntrophales; Syntrophaceae
Description: bacterial SSU rRNA
Rfam family: Bacterial small subunit ribosomal RNA
Source: RNAcentral
CCCGCACAAGCGGUGGGGCAUGUGGUUUAAUUCGAUGCAACGCGAAGAACCUUACCUGGGCUUGACAUCCCGGGAAUCCCUUGGAAACAAGGGAGUGCCCUUCGGGGAACCUGGAGACAGGUGCUGCAUGGCUGUCGUCAGCUCGUGUCGUGAGAUGUAGGGUUAAGUCCCGCAACGAGCGCAACCCUUGUCUUUAAUUGCCAUCAUUGAGUUGGGCACUUUAAAGAGACUGCCGGUGUUAAACCGGAGGAAGGUGGGGAUGACGUCAAGUCCUCAUGGCCUUUAUGCCCAGGGCUACACACGUGCUGCAAUGAGUGGUACAAAGAGCAGCCAGCUCGCGAGAGUGAGCAAAUCUCAAAAAGCCAUCCUCAGUUCGGAUUGAGGGCUGCAACUCGCCCUCAUGAAGCUGGAAUCCGUAGUAAUCGCGUUUCAACAGAACGCGGUGAAUACGUCCCUGCUCCUU